RNAcentral lists this long non-coding RNA (601 nucleotides) under Salvia miltiorrhiza (redroot sage). RNAcentral describes it as "long non-coding RNA (SMIL_LNC009166)". The record is from RNAcentral. Lineage: Eukaryota; Viridiplantae; Streptophyta; Magnoliopsida; Lamiales; Lamiaceae.
AUUUUAACCAUUUAAACUCACAUAUAAUCCAUCAAUUACAAUUUAGGGCAUAGAUACACAUAUCCCUAAUUUUAUUAAACUAACUCACCUCAAAUUCAUCAAUUGACAUCAAAUAAUCAAUUUACUCCAUCAAUCAUCAUCAUAGACAUCACAUAGACUCAUUCUCAUCAUCAAUUCAUCAUUUAACACAUCAACUCACCAAUUCCAAAUUUUUGGGUAAACUAAACUCAAUCGACUUUCACAUCUCAAAGCAUAUACUUUCACAACACACAUCAAUCAUCAACAAACACCACAUAGACCUCAUUUUUCACCCCAAAUCAAGGAAAAAAAAAAUUUGAAGGGUAAAGACCCAUUUUUGAAAAUUUUAAGAACAAGGGAGGGGUGAUUUUCUUUCUUCAAUCUUUCGAGAAUACUCACAUACAAUAUCAUUCAAGCAAGAUUUAUGGAAUACAUGAUCACUUACCCAAAUUUCUCACCAAAACUCACACUUUCUCACUCUAGCUUGGAAACCUUUCUUCAAUGAUCCUCUUGAAUUCAAGUAGCUAGGAUGUUUUUAUGUAAGAUUUAAGAGUGAAUUGAGGUGUUUGGUAUAAUUUUUUUU